RNAcentral lists this ribosomal RNA (392 nucleotides) under uncultured bacterium. RNAcentral describes it as "partial 16S ribosomal RNA". It matches the Rfam family "Bacterial small subunit ribosomal RNA", at positions 523 to 918 of the family's 1533-position model. The record is from RNAcentral.
AUACGGAGGAUGCGAGCGUUAUCCGGAUUUAUUGGGUUUAAAGGGAGCGUAGGCGGGAGCUUAAGUCAGCGGUUAAAUGGUGCGGCUCAACCGUGCCCUGCCGUUGAAACUGGGUUUCUUGAGAGUGCAAGAGGCGGAUGGAAUUCAUGGGGGAGCGGGGUAAUGCUUAGAUAUCAUGAAGAACUCCGAUUGCGAAGGCAGUCCGCUGGGGCACGUCUGACGCUGAUGCUCGAAGGUGCGGGAAUCAAACAGGAUUAGAUACCCUGGUAGUCCGCACGGUAAACGAUGAUUACCCGCUGUCGGCGGCAGACAGUCGGCGGCCAAGCGAAAGCGAUAAGUAAUCCACCUGGGGAGUACGCCGGCAACGGUGAAACUCAAAUGAAUUGACGGGG